Long non-coding RNA from Callithrix jacchus (white-tufted-ear marmoset), 2101 nucleotides. NCBI's taxonomy places the organism in Eukaryota, Metazoa, Chordata, Mammalia, Primates, Cebidae. The record is from Ensembl.
AUGCCUCAUAACUUAUUUCUAUUUAUUUAUUUAAUUUUGAAAUGGAGACCACUCUGUCGCCCAGGCUGGAGUACAGGUGGUACGAUUUCAGCUCACUACAACUUCUGUCUCCCGGGUUCAAGUGAUUCUCCUGCCUCAGCCUCCCAUAGCUGGUACUACAGGCGGAGUCUCCCUGUCGCCCAGGCUGGAAUGCAGUGGUGCUUUUCUCCGUUCACUGCUACCUCUGCCUCUUGGGUUCAAGUGAUUCUCCUGCCUCAGUCUCCCAACUAGCUGGGAUUACAGGUACACACCACCUGUUAGAAUUUUUGUAUUUGUAUUGCUCCCAGGUAAAAUCCCUACUCUGUGUGCCACCUGUAUACUUACAAAACACUUCUAUCACAGUGUUGAUUUAAUCACUUGCUUUCUAACUGGGCCUCAGGCUAACCCUUGAGGGCAGAGAUAUUCUCGUUUGUUUUAGCUUUUCCACAGCUGUGUACCAGGUAUCCAUUAGGGGCUCAAUAAAUGUUGAAUUAAUGAAUUUGUGAAUAAAUAAAAGAUCACUAAUCAGUAAGGUUUUUUGAAUGCUUAUUUUUGAAAACACACUUUAAGAGUAAAUGUUUAUUGCUUUAGAAUACAAAGAAUAAGAUCGAUAUUUGAUAGUACAACAGGACACUAUCGUCAAUAAUUAAGUUGUACACUUAAAAAUAACUAAGAGGUAUAAUUGGAUUGUUUGUAAUACAAAGGACAAAUGCCUGAGAGGAUGGAUACCUCAUUUUCCAUGAUGUAAUUAUGACACAUUGCAUGCCUGUAUCAAAACAUCUCAUGUAGCCCAUAAAUAUAUACACCUAUUAUGUACCCACAAAAAGUAAAAACAAAAUAUUUUUUAAAAGUAAAUGUUAUUUCAAAAGCUGUUUAAGAUACUGAGCCUAGACUGUAACACAAUAGGUGCUCAACAAAUGUUUUUUGAAUAAAUACCUAAUACUCAGACAUCACAAGUACUUUCAGUUUAUUGUGACUUGCAAUCUGAGGCCCUGGUAACUUUGGAAGUAAAUAAAGCCACAUGAUAAACAAUGACACAUCUUUCUCAGGUGUAAAUUGCUUAAAGCUUUUACAGCUAUUUAAACAAGAGGCAAAAUAAAACAUUCACAUUAGUUUUAAAGAAAAACAUCUUUCUUCAAAUGUAUUUUUUGUUUGUGAGAGCUUACUUGGGGCUAUAUCUUCAGACUCCCUGUGUUUAAUGUUAUCUUUCCAUUGGUUUCGUGAGUGCUUUGCAAGAAAUGUCUAAGAGGUGGUAGGUACAUUUUGUGAUUGGUGUUUUACAUCUUUGUCUGAAUAAGAAGAAAAUAUACCAAUCAUUAACACCUGUAGAGGGUUUAACUCUAGCUAAAGUCACUUUCAUCUAAUCUUUUCUGGGCUUCACUUCUUCCAGACUGGAACACUGAGCAGGCAUUAUCAACAUCCCCAUUUUAUAGAUUAGGAAACUUGAGAUUACUAAAUCUGGGCUAGGGUCCUCCUGGGAAUGGGGCAGGGGGAGUGCUGGUUAAAGAAAAUUAUUCUGACACUUGUUAAACACAAUGAAUAAAUUAUUCAACAUCACUGCAAUAAGGGUCACCACUAUUGAAACAGGAGAGAGAAAUUGAGCUCAACUCAGAAUACAGCAAAGACAGCAAGGGAUUUAUAGGCAAGGAACGAGCACCGUGUCUGUGAGGGAGGUGACGGGGGACGGAAAAUUACUAAGAGGAGACAUCAAGGGUAGGAGGAUUCUGACUAAAGGCAGGUCAAGGGCUUCUGCAGCAAAGGUGGAAUACAGAGAAUCGAAUCUGAUAUUAAAUAUCAAGAGUUCAAGGGUGAUCAGUUAUCGAGGAUGUAUGACUUAGCACGAUUCUUGCCAAUACUUGGGCACAGCCAGGACACAGGAUGGUCAACGUUGAGGCCUAGUUGAGAAAGGGCUCAGAGGUACCGAACUAAAGGAGAGCGUCUCUAUUCCAGCCUAUUCUGACCUCUUUUCCCCGCUUAAACUCAGUGUUAACAAUCUGACCUCUUUUAUUACCUGAUUCCCAUGGAAGGGGUGGGGACUGGCAGGCAGCCCGUGCUCUAGGAUCGUGAGCAGGAGGCCUAGCUC